This is a long non-coding RNA of Brassica rapa (field mustard), 17454 nucleotides long. RefSeq lists it as uncharacterized. The record is from RefSeq and is a predicted model, not a curated record. Lineage: Eukaryota; Viridiplantae; Streptophyta; Magnoliopsida; Brassicales; Brassicaceae.
UAAUUAUCAUAUAUAUGUUAACCUUAUUAGAUAAUUCUGUAAUUUUUAUUUAAGGAAAUAAUUGAGAAUAUUUUUUUGUAUACUACUAAUGAAUUUGAUAGUUAGUUAAAUAAAAAUUAUAAUAUAUAUUUAUGUAUGAACCAACCUUUUUUCUAAUGAUUCUAAGAAUCAUCAUAGUGAUGACACGUGACUACGAAAACAUGUGGUAAUGCACCAAAAUUAAUAUACAUGGGAUUAACAGACUAAAAUUCGAUGAAAGUGGUGUAACUGCUAUUGCAAAGUUUUGUUGGUUUUAAUAAUUCAAAGUUAGUAGGUGUUAUAUUUAAAAAAUUAUAUAUAUAUAUAUAUAUAAUAAUAAUAAUAAUAAUAAUAAUAAUAAUAAUAAUAAAUAACAUCAUGAGAAAUGCACAUUUGCACAUGCAAUUAGAAGCACUUAUUUAGGCUACGGAAAAUACAAUUCAACACUCACCAUGUCAGAUUUUUAGGAAAAAAUUAUAAUGAUCUAGUUUUGAUGGUUCAAAGACCGGCAGGCUAGCCUGGCUUUUCAAGGGAACUGAAGUAGUUAGCUUUACUACAAAGAAGAUUUCAAGAUUAUCUAAUAUUCAUUGGCCAAAACUGCACGUUUCAUAGAAUUUUAUGUUUUUUGGUUGUUUUAUUUCGGUUUGGAUUCUGAAACCAUAUUUUUUAACAAAUAAAAUGUUCUCUCAAUGUCAAAAAAUGGCACAAGUUACUAAAUCCACAAAACCAUAAGGAGAAUUAUGGGAAAAAGAGAUCAAUUGGUCCCUCUCUUAGAUAAAAUCUUUUUUUCCUUAGGCUACUACAAGUUUACUGACUUUCCUCUUAUAUUACUUUAUAUAUAUAUAUAUAAAUACUAGAUAAAAAAACUGUACUACCAAUGUUUGAAAUUAUAUUUGCAACUCAAUGGAUAGGUUAUUGCCUAAAAAUAAAACCAUCUACAUCUAAAGCCUGGUUAAAUUAUUAGUAACCAAACUUAUGUUAAUGUGAGUACCUUUUUGUUGUUUCAAAAAAAAACUGUACCUUUUUGUCAGAAAAAAAAAUCAAAUGUUGGAUAAAAUUUAAGUAUUUUUUUGCAUGUGUUAUCUAUGUUUCAUCCAUUACGAUAAUGUAAGUAAUUUUUUCAUGAGCUAUUUAUGUUUCAUCCAUUAAAUAAAGAAUAACAAAGAAAGAAAAUAAAUAGUUAUGGGGUCCCAAUAGUUAUGUAAAGAAAAUAAAUAGAUAGUAUUUUUUGCGUUGCUUUGUCACUCUAUCUCUCUCUCUCUCUUCUGCGUUUGAGGCAAAGACUGAAACACUGCUCGAUACUACUAUUUACUGUCGUACGAACAGACGAGCACACGAAGUCCACAGAAUGUCAAAAGUAUAUAUUAUUAAUUCAUCAUUACAUUAUCAUUUCAACUUUGAACCAACGUACACAUGCACUCUUUCAUUAGGUGUCCUGAUCUCAACGUUUGAUUUGUUGGGUCUCUGCUGCUCUGCUAGCCGUCAGAUCAGAUAUUGCCAACUGCUGCAAAGAUGUUAUACUGAACAAAGAAAGUGACCAGUAAAGUUGACGCUCCUUGUUUUCACCUUCAAGAGAAAUCUCUUUAUUUGAACAGAAAAAAAGAGAAAUCUACUUCUGCUUCCUUUUAUUAUUUUUUCUUCUUUUCAAAAAUAUAACAUCUAAUUGCAAAAAGUUAUAACGAUAAGAAAAUGUUUUUCUUUUCUUUUUGUGUAAAAACUGAUCGUCGAUCGAGCAUUUCCAAGAAAUAUAGAAUUUUCUAUAGGCUUUGAAUAAAUUCACCUCUUAUUUAGCUUGAUUUUAAAAUAUUCAUCACGAAGGAAUUCAAUUAAUUUAUUAAACAAAAUUCAACAAAAAAUAAUCUUUGCAUAUCCAAAUAUUUGAUUAAUAAAAUAUGCAUAUGUAGCGAUUAUAUAGAAAUCAGUGUUACAGGAAAAGUCAAGAUUGAACAUUCAAUAUCAAUCAUUAAAGAAAAAAUAUAAUGAGGCUGCAAUUUGAGGGAAUAAAACUUCGUUUCAGGUCUUCAAAAAUACCAAGGCUUUAACAUAAAUUUAAAGAACUUUCUUUUUCUUUCUAACACAUCUAUAAUCUACACGGUAGAAGAAGCUAGUAACUGUAAUGUGAAAUCAAACUUUAACCAAGAAUUGUAGAAAACAACGUUCUCAAAAAAAAAAAAUGUAGAAAACAGAAGUGGACGAAGCUGUGGAAUUUGCAUUGUUAAUUGAGUAGCUCGAGGAACCUUUGCAUGGGGAGAAGAUGUUAUUGGGGUCGUCAUCGUCCCAUCAACGUUAAUUCAAACGUCAAUGCGGAAGAGGUGCAUAAAUUAAUGUUUGCAUGGGGUACAUAUAUUUGAGAAUAAUAAUAGUAUAAAAGUUUAUCUUUUUUUAAUAGAAGUAUAAAAGUUUUUCUUGAAUAGAUUCAAUAAUGUCAAUCAGUUUUCUAAUAUUUAACAUAGAGACAUUAUUUAAUAUGUGAUUUUUUUUGAAUCUACUCUAUUAAAAAUAGAAUCAUUUUAAAAAUUUACUGGAUAAAAUUGUUAUAACUAGACCAAAUCAUUAAACAUUAACACAUAAAAAUAAAUAAAACAAAAUUGUUAUAUUUUUAUUCUCUAAUCUAUCCCGAUAAAAACAAUCACCCAAAACAGAUAUUGAUUUCAAGCUCAUCCACGAGGCCAGCCAUUUUUAUAUUAUUUAUACACGUGAAUAUAUUUCUUAUUUUCUCACGAAAGACAAUAAUUUAGUUUAAGCUAUUUUUACCGUUAACAAUUAUUUAAACCAACAUGUUAUAGACUUGUUUUCAACACAUUGAUAUCGGUUAUAUUAUCAACACUAUAAUAAUUCUUUUACCAAAAAAAAACACUAUAAUAAUUCUUUUGGUUAAAUUUGUACGGUUUACGUCAUCGCUUUAAUCAAUCAAUCCGGUUAAUUCCUUUAAAACCAAAUGUGUAGUUAUGUUAAAUGUAUAUAUUUAUCUUUUGAUAGUUUUUUCUAUAGAUUAUUGUACAUAUGUUUGUAAAUCUCAUGUACAGUGUUCAAGAAAGCGUUAUAGGCAGCCAUCUAGGCAGCAGCUAAGCCUAGGCAUUUGAUCUGAUAUCUGAAUCCAUAUCCACAUCCGAUCUGAAAAAUUUGAACUGAAGUAGGCAAAUAAUUGAACUAGUAUUGAAUUACGAGAGAUUAGAUAUCCAAAUCCGAACAUACAUCAUCCAAAGCCGAAUGGAUAUCCAAAGAUAACCAAACACAUGUACACUUCAUCUUAUAUUUCUAGUUUAUUUCUCUUAUUUUAUUUAAAAUAUUUAUAUUGAUGCUGCACAUUGCUCAAGAUCAUAUGAUAUACAUAUAAUUACCAAAAAAAUGAUUUGUCACUCACUUAAAAUGCAUGUCAAGCUCUUAUUUCGUACAUUAACAAAAGUUGCAUCCAAAUUUUUAAACAACAACCAAAUUAGUAUCUUUCUAUUUUAAAAACUUUUAUCCUCAAACCUAUUAAUUGUUUAAUCUAUUAAAAGUAAGAAAAUCAGCUAAAGGAAAUAUAUAUUUUAAAUACAAGAAACUUGAGCAAUAAAAAUUUUGAUUUUUUUCAAAAUCUAAAUAUUCGAACCCGAUCUGAAAUAAGCAAACCCGAACUAUACACAAACCUGACCAAAGUGUAGAAAUACCCGAAUAGUUUCUAUGCCACCAUAUUAAAUCUCGAAAAUGUGAAAUACUCGAUUUGAACCCAAAUAAGUAUUCGAACGUCCGCCCUUAGGCAGCGCUUUGGCUCUAGGCCUUAUAAGAUCUUGGUGAUGAUUAUCUUCUAAAACGCCAAAAUAAUUACAAUAUUGCAAUGAUAAAUAAUAUAUAGUUUGUUUUUCAUAAAAUAAUUAAUAUGUUAUUAUAUAGAAUCUUAUGUAAAUAACUUAAUAUAAAUUUCAUCAUUGGUAAAUAAAUAUAUUUGAUAUAGAACAUCACAUAUAUGUAGUAUAUUUUUAUAAUAUAUAAAUACCUAACCGCAUAACUAAUAAUUUAGGCGUCCGUUUAGUUGUUGUGCUAGGCACUGAGUCACCGUCAGCUUAGCCCAUAUCGUUCUCUUGAACAGUGCUCCUAUAUAACAUGUUUAUAUAUUUUCAGAUUGAUAUUUCAAACAGAUUUACGUUAUUGUUUUAGUCAAACUAUCCAGUUCAAGUAUUUUGGAUUUAUAUUAAUUUAUUGUUAGAAAAUUUAAUUUAUAGUUGGUAAGAUUCAUCCCAGUACAUUUACAGUUUAUGGUUUAGGUUUACUAAAAAUAUCAUGCAUACAAUUCGGAUCUAGCUCUAGUUCAGACUAAAAAUAUAAUAAGAAAAUAAAAAGGAAUAAUGCAGAAAGGAGAGAAGACAUAUAAUAACAAAAGAUAAUAGUUUACUUACAGGACAACGGAUAAUAAGGCGAAAUUCUCGCGGGAACCAACGCCUCCUUCUUUCUAUCCCUUCGGUAAUUAAUGAAACAGACAAGAGAAAUACGUACAAACACAGAUACUCAUAUACAUACACAUUCUCUCAUUAUAUAUAUAUAUAUAUAUAUAUAUAUAUAUAUAUAUAUAUAUAUAUAUGGACUUUUUAAUAAAUUACCUUCAAGUUUUUUUUUGAAACUUAUUAUUUACCUUCAAGUUUUUUUUGAAUGAUACCUUCAAGUUUAAUACUUGGAUUCGAUUUUAAUUUUACGCUCGAUUUACUAAUCAUUUUAUGGUAACUGCUACUGUUCCAUUAAAAAUAUUCAUUUUUAUAAAUUAUCAUGCUUAUCUUAUAUAUAGAUAUUUUUUUCUUAUCUUCUAUAUAUAUACACUUUAUUUUUCAGCAAAUAUUCAUCCUAAACUGAUUAAUGAUUAAAUAUAUAUGUCUAGCGUCAACAUUUUAUCAUAUCUAACCACAUGGUUGCCCAUAUUAAAGUGAUGAUUACGUCAGAUGUACCAUUAAUUAACAAAAAAUUCGAAAGAUGACACAAGGUGAUAAAAAAUGUAUUGCUGGAAAACAUAUAGUAUAGUAUAUAAACGAUACCAAUAUACCAUAAUAGUUAGAAAGCAGUUAAAAAAAUAAAAAUAGAAAUGAUCAUGCUUAUCGUUGCGGUCAGAAUUUACCAAUCGAAACCAUAACAAUAUAUUCUCUUAAAUUUAUUUAUUUCAUCCCAUUUUCGUAGUAAUUUAUCCGCACUUAAAAAAUUUAUUCAUCACAUUUAUAUUCGUUUCCAUACUAUUGUAAGGUUAUGGUAAAAACACAUAGAUGUAGUCCAUAAUACUGCGGUUAAAAAGUGAUAAAACGAAAAUAUUGUUAGCAAAAGGUAAAUAAUGAAAAGGUCAAAAGACAAAAAUAAAGAGCAAAUGUCAGACGGUGGGGGAAGAAGUGACGUGUGAAGAGUAGGAAGUGGAACCAAAGGGAAAUGGGAAUGACUGUCACGAGUUAGUAAGGAGUAGUAGUAGGGGACCAAUCAGCGACAAAACUUCCUCAAUCGCUUUGUAAUCUUAUUGAUGCCUCAUUCACAGUCCUGUCAUUGUAUAACUUUCUUGCCUUUCCUUUUUUUUGUUCUUUCUAAAACAUACACAAGAAUUGUCAAUUCUAUGUUGUCCUAAAAAAUAGAAAAAAGAAUUGUCAAUUCAGUUAUAAUUUCUUUUUCAUUAUAUUCACAUUUGUGUUUUGAUAAAUUCUUUGGAGCCUUUCAAAUGGCUAAUAUACGUGAAAAUCCAUCCCAAAUUUUACAAGCCCAUGAUUAGAACUAGGUCCAUGACCAUAUCAAACUCAAGAGCAAACAUGAGGCCGACGGGGUUGAAUCGGAGCCCGGAGCUCUGCGCUUCAGUUUGCGAAAUGAGAGAAAACACACACAGACACACAAUUAUGCGUUUUUUUCUAUUUUUGUAGAUGACAAAUUUUUCAAUAUCAUUUUUUACACACGUUAAAUUUAUUUCCGAAUGUUUAUGUUUGACAAACGAUGUAGAGAACAAGUUCAAAGAUUUCAAACUGACCGGAGUUUGUGGUCAAGUGAUAAGGGGAAGGAUUUGGGAUAUCACCAUAUUUCAGGUUCGAUCUAUCUGUCAUGCGAAACUAAGUUACAUUUCUUGGUCACCCUAUAUAGAUAUGCACUAUUAUUUUUCGGUCCAUUUAAAUAUUCGGGAGAUGGUCUAUCCGUGGACUACACUUCUUACCCGAGAGUUAGGUAUGUGUCUUUAAUAGAUUCAGAUUUAACCCUUUUGAUUUAUUAAAAAAAAACAAUUUCAAACUGUUUUGUUUUUGCAUUAAGUUCUUUCCAGCUUACUCCGAUUUUAGUUAUUUCAUACAACUGAUCAUCUGAAUCAAUGUAGAUAAACCAAAUUUUUUUCCUUUGUUGAUUAAUACAUAUUACAUUUCAACAAAAAAAAUGAUAUAGAGAAAUCAGAACUGGUAAACUAACUAAAAUCAAAACUAACGUCAGAAACGACAGUAGUGUCAAUAACUCCAUCAAGGAGUAAACCAAAUUUUUAGACUCCGAAAGCCUUGAACCAACCAUAAGGAAGACACACUAACUAAAAAAAAUUACCACGGAUGUAGCGCACUGUUUAAAAAUUCUAUCUUUCUUUUAUUAUUUUCAAUAUCAUCUUUUUUUCUCUCUACGGUAAACAGUUAUUCUAUUACUUAAAUUUGAGGUGUUCUAGGUAAUCAGACUGGAAUAGAACAAUCAAUGUAACAAAGCUUUUUAUGAAUUAAACAUGGAUUUCUAGCUAAAGAAUCAGUUAUUCCAUUUUGUGCUCUUGUGAUGUACGAGAUUUUAAACUUUGAAAAGCAUAGCUGAAGAGUCUGAAAUUGCCUCCAAUUCUGUUACAAAACUUGGCCAAUCUAUGGGUCCUUUAUCAUUGCAAUCAGAUCUUUACAAUUUGUCCUAAAGUUCUAGCAUAAUGUUGGAGCAUAUUUUCCAUAGCCCAUCUUAGUGCCUCCAAUUCUGUGUGCAAAGCAGCCUCUCGCCUUCUUAAGUUCUGCAUCUCUAAAAGUUGGAUCUUUCCCAAGUUAUCCAUCCAAACCCAUCUGCACCCACUGAACUGAGAUGUAGAGGUCCAUGAAGCAUCCACCAUAAAAAAUAUUACACAAGCUUAAGACUUGUGGUUCCUCAAUCUUAUGUUCAUGUGGAGAUGAUGGUACUGUCUCAUUUUCAUUAAACCAAGCUUGACAUUUAUUUUCCGCAUAUCUGACAAGCUCCAAAGGAUCCCUAUAUAUCUCCCUAAAGAAUUUAUCAUUCCGAGCCUUCCAUAUAUAUCAUAUUAUCUAAGAAUAAGUAUUUAUGUCCAAUUCUGGUUCUUUAAUGAUGUUCCUCCUCCAGAAUAGAUAGUCCAUGUUGGCAUAUAUUUUCAAUAUCAUCUUACAACUUAAAUCUCAUCCAUAUAUAUGAUGUAUAUUCCGUUAGUACAUAUAGAAAACAUAUAUUAUACUACAAAAAUAGGCUAUUUUAACUUUUUCGAUUAAAUUUUAACUUUUUCUGUAAAAUUUUGCGAGGUUUGAUUAUAUUUUCAUUUCUGUUUAAGUUUUAAUUUUUUAUAUAAUUAUAGUGUAUCUUGCUAUAAAGCGGUAAAUAUAUAUAUAUAUAUAUAUAUAUAUAUAUAUAUAUAUAUAUAUAUUGAUUUUUUGUUUACGGAUUAGUAUAACGAUAAAUGAACUUAAAUGAAUUAUGAUUUUUGUUUUAAUUUACAGUGAUUAUGUUAUUAUAAAAACUAUUAGGAACAGUCUCUCUUUGUAGCCAAUGACAUGUGUUUGUUUGUAGCUAAUUACAUAUGUUUGUUUGUAGAUCAAUGUUCUCUACUAGUAGAAAAUGAAGUCUGUUUAGUGACUUUUGUACCCAGUGAAUUCACUCGUAGAGUUUGACUGUAGCCAAGUAACUCUGUUUGUUUGUAGAUUAAUGUUCUAUGUUUGAUAUGGGUUCUCUGUUUUGCAGGCAAUGAACACUAUUUAAUGACCUCUAUAGCCAACAAAUUUUCCUAUUGAUUUUGAUUAUGUACGUUUUGCUUUGCUUGUUUUAGAAGAUUUAGUUCCAAUUUAAGAUAGCCAUCCGGAACAAGAAAUGCCUUACAUUUCCUUACAUGCUUUUUAAACUGUUUUGGAAGUUUUAUUUCAAAUUUAGGAUAACCAUCCAAAAAAAAGAUUACCUUAAGAUUACCUUACACGCUUUUUUUUGAAAUAUUUAGUUCAAAUGUCUUUGAUUCACAGCCGGUUGAUCUUUUUGAGAUCUUUUUUUGAUCUUUGUAACAGGUUUUCAAAAUAUGGUUGAAGUUUUUAUGUUUGUGAGAAUGGAGUUCAAAGGAAAUUUUCCAGUGGGAGUUUGUUGUGGAUAAGAACAUGACUACAUUGUUUAUUAACUUAAAAGAAGAUUCAAUAUGAAGAAUUGCUGAAGAUGUUUUCCGAAGAUUUUUGAAUUCAAGUGGAAGACAUAACUUUGAGUUAUGGGAUUUAUUUGGAGUUGAAAAGCACAGUUGAAGAUGUUUCCCCAAUCUCCAUUGAAAACACUCGCCAAUUAAGAAGUUUCAUCGGUAAGAUUAGUGUAUUUGAAGGAGUCUGUCGGUUGUGUAUAAAGGUUUGUUGCUUUAUAUCAACAAAUCGCUAUUCAGGAUAAUCUUCCUAAUUAUUUACUAAACCUUUCAAAACAACUUGAACCUUGUUGUGCUUCUCGAGUUCCUUUGAAUUCUAUUCUAAAUUUUGGUUCUAAUGUGCAGAGAAAACAAUAUGUAAAUUGUUUUCAAAUCUCUUUGUGUGUUUGUAUGAUUUUAUUCUUCUUUAGACUAUUCAUGAUAGUCUUCCUAAUCAUGUACUAAUCCUUCCUAAACAACUGGAAUUUUUCAGAUUUUUCCUUUUCAAGGUGUCUCUGCGUGCCACUAAGCUGUUUUGUUCAGAUUUUUUUUUGUGAUUAAGAAAUAUUUGUAUGAGCAUACAUGUGAUACAACACAUAGAAAUGCGAACCACUGAUGAUUCUCUUCAGCAUAGCGGCCAAAAUACUAUGUUCCCCUUCCCUGAAGCUCUCAGAUUUUGUUGGACUCUUUUUCUGUGAGAAUCUUUUUAACAGUCUUGAUAUAAGCAUCGUUUGAAUGUUGGUUUAUUGAAACUCUUUCCUCUGGCUCUGAACUAAUAGCGUACUUCAUCUCAGGCCGGACUAGUUUGAGAGGUAAUGAAUCUCUCAUCGUGUUACUAUCAUGUUUAACCAAGCAAACAAAAAAUCUAAAAUUUGUUAACAUCAGAGUUUAUGGAAAGCCUUCCUGAAACUAUACAAAUCCUUCCUGAAAAAAAAACCCACAAAGUUUCACAAGCACAAGAAAUCGACUAGAAAUGUCAUAAGCAAAUUCACGAGCCUACCAAACAUACCAACAUGCGUAAGCCAAACAAGACACCAAGCAAAAAGUUUUUCAAAUUUGUUAACAUCAGAAUAUCUGGAAAGCUUUCCUAAAACUACACAAAUUCUUCCUGAAAUUUCAAAAAACUACAGUGUCACACACACAAGCAAGAGACUAACAAUAUCAUAAGAAAAUUCACGAGUCUACAAAACAUAUCAACAUGGGUAAGCAAAACAAGACACCAAGCAAAAUUUUUUAAAAAAAUUGUUAACAUCGAAUUUUCUAGAAAGCUUUCCUGAAACAAUCCAAAUCCUUCCUAAAAUUUAAAAAAACUACAUAUUUUCACAAGCACAAGCAAGAGACUAACAAUGUCAUAAAAAAUUCACGAGCCUACCAAAUAAAUCAACAUGCUUAAGCCAAAUAAGUAAAAUAAAGAACAAUUUUACCAAAAUUUCUUUGUGUCAUUGGGUGUUCAAAAUUUCUUACCAAAAUUUUUAGAUGGUCACGAGAUUUUUGUAGGUGGUUUAAACUCCAAAACUUGUUUGUAGCUCCUUCCUGAAAUCAAACAAGUAAAAUAAAGAACAAUCUUCUCAGAGAAAUGAAUAAACACUUAUCUUAAAAAGAUUAGUAUCUAAGGGUCUUUCCUUGUUAAAUAGGCCUUUCACCACAGUGUUGCAGCUACUAGCCUACUACGACUAGGCUGCAAUUUUCAAAUGGCAAAAGUUAACAUGAAAUCGUAUUAAAUUCUUAGACGUGAGAUUAAACAGGAUUAAGACCUUGCAGAUGAGUUGCUAUCAUUGGUAUUAAAGUAGCCUAUCUGAGACAUAUCCCACAAACAAGCUUAGAAUAAAACUACUAGACAAGAUCAAAUAGAAUACAUAAACAAACAAAAAGGACAAUCUUUUGAGAGACUGGGAAAAAAGCAAGUACCUUGGAGGGAAAUGGAAGCUUAGGCUUGGCGAAGAGACCGAAAAAAUUCUUCGAGUGAGAUGAAUUUAUUUUGAAUCCCAAUGGUGCAUUUAUUAUAACGGUUAUUUAAAAUUUGCCGGGGUUUUUAAUGGUUGUUGUUUUCCUAUAUCAUAAAUAGUAUAUUUUGUAACAUUUUUAUUACUUAAUAUAUAUAUAUAUAUAUAUAUAUGUAUUAUCAUAAAUAAAAGGAAAUAAAAUAUUAUUUCUAUUUCUAUUUAACUUCUUUUUUUAUGUUGGAUACUUAAUCUACUAAUUUAGAGUCGUAUUGAAAUUUAUUGUGGUAUUUUUAAAAUUUAUUAAACAUGUUGUGACUAAAUAUAAAAACACGAUUUAUAUACAAGUUUAUAUGGUAGUCAAUAUACUUUAACUAAACAAACUUAUAAUUGUACCAUCGUUUAUAAAUUUCAUUAAUCAAAAUCGCAACCAAAUCGAAUUUUUUAUGGUUAUCUAAUAUAAUAGAAUAAUAAACUUUAAAAAUUGGUUCUUCUUUUCUACUUAAAAUAUUGCUUGACUACUGAAAAUAAUCUUCUCUAAAUCAUUGUGAAAAAAUUCUACUAACAUGAUUAUUUUCUCUGCCUGAAGUAUGGUUUGACUAUUGAACGUAAUUGGACAUUGUUAGUGUUUAGUUGUGUCUCUUCAAUUGAAGAACUGUAUCUGCAACAAAUCAUAAUCAACUCAAUUCAUAUUUGUCCAAUUACAUUUGACUUACCAUUAUAACAAUAUGUACACUUAUAUUUGAUUAGAAUAAUAAACAUAAUUACACUUAUGUCAUAAACAUUAUAACAAUAUCUAUCGUUGGUCAAGGUAAACAUUACUUUUACAGGAGGGAACUACAAAUCUACAAGCGGUAUGUCAUAAAUGUUCCCUAAAUAUCCCAAUUAUAUUAAUAUUCUAUAAUCGAUUUCUAAACAGUAUACAAAACUAAAAACUAUUAUAUUAAUAUUCUAUAAUCGAUUUCUAAACAAUAUACAAACUAAAAUUGGGAUAGAUAUUCUGUUUGAUGAACUUAUGAUAAUAUUGUACACUUGAUUUUAAGACAAUAUACAAAUUUUAAAACUAACAAAUCAAAACACCUUGAUUUUAAACGAUAUAAAAAUUUUUAAGCUAACAAAUCAAAACAACAUAUCUUUCAAACAAUUACCAAACUUAUAAACAAUAUAUGAUUAAAGAAUAAUUUGAUUGUUUAUUUCACCAUUGUAUAUCUAAAAAUAACUAAUCAUCUGGAACAAGCUAACAAACAAUAUAUUUUGUCCCUAGAAAGUAUAAUGAAUAUGUAUAUGAUCGAACAAUCUAACAAAUAACAAGCAACAUAUUUUGUUCUUAAAGACAAUAAAAUAAAUACAGCUUCUCGGAUUAUAACUCCACCAAGAGCUCUGAUACGACUUUAAAAGAUCAAAGCAUUAGAAAUAACAAUGGUUUCUCCUAACAAGAUAAUUUUUUUGAAAGAUCUCAAACCAUACAAACCUGCAUGGUGAAUAGAGAUUAAAAUUAUCUAUUCAUGGGUUCUGAUAUACUAAAAAUGAAACAUAGCUACUGUCAAGUUAACAGUGGUAAUUGUAAUAUUUGAGAUUCAAUCCAGAAGACCAGUUUACUCUUUACUCUUAUGAGUUCAAUACUAAGCUGAGAAACAAGUGGGAUUUUGUAAAUUAAUUGCGACGCAAGUAACUAAAAUACAUAGAGAUUCAAAUUCGAUUUAAAUGAAAGUCGGCUUAGGGUUAUUUAUCGGGUGUCAAUGCAGAACCGAACAACUAUUCAAGAACAAUUAUUCAACUAGUCUAGAACUCAGAUCACUCGGCUAGAACAAUCCACUAUCGUGGUCUUGCUCCCUUUGCAGAUCGGUCUUGAAUCCUAAGUUCUCACUUGGAACAAGACGCGAUAACAAGCCUUAGAGAUAAGAUCCGAUUAGUUCACCUAAUACCCUAACUAGAACCUGACCCGCGCGCCAGCGCGGGUAUGAAUUUUUGAUUAUUUAUUUAACUAAAUGAUGUAUUUGUAAUAUUUGAUGUAUUAUAUUCACCAAAUAAAUUUUUUUUUGGCAUCUUAAACCAUCUAUUUAUGAUGAAUAUUCGAUAUCAUAUAAAAAAUAGAACAAACAGACGUAAUUAGAGAAUUGUAAACGAUAUAUAAAAACAAUGGUUAUUAAUGUAAAAUAUGAAGAAAUAUUAUAUUAUGACUUAGUAUGGCAUAAAAGAUUAUAAAUUAGUUAUACAUCUUUAAAGAAAAUAUAAUGAUUUUUAAACUUCUACGAAAAAUUUAACAUAUAAAAAAGGGCGAUGAAUUAGUCAUCAAAUUGUAAAUAAUUUCAUAAUUUUAUUAAUAAUAAAUUAUUUAUAGUCUUUGUUUUUCGUCAAGAUAAUUAUUAAAUGUCCAUAACAUUAAUAUGUUAAAAGGCCAUAUUAUGAUAGCCCAUGUUGUAACCGUUUUUUUCCGGGAAGUGUAACAAAAAAACUCUUCGUUUUGUUUAAGUUCUAUGUCGGUAAAAGAUUAAAAAAAAUCUUUCUAUCUCUUUCAAUGUUCAAUUUGAAGCUUAUUAUGCAAAAAUCAUACGCAAAUAUAGGCAAUGGAUUGGAAUCUCUAUAUCUUUAUAUUCUUACAAAUUUUAAAUUUACUAUUUUCUCUUCUGCAAGCAAAUCAAUUACCGAAGUAAUAUAUCAAUUGGUUGUACUCAAAUCUAUUCUUAUAAUUAGUCUAAUUAUUAUGGUUACAGUUUCUAUAUUUAAUAGGUACAUUAUGGAUACGACACUGAAGAUAUUCUGUUUUGAUUAAUAGAAGAUAUUGGAUUUUGAGUUUGUAUUUAUUGAUUUAUUUUUUUAUAAAGCUUAGAAAUUCAAUAUCAUGAUUGGUUGGUUGAUACAUCAUAUAAGGAAAACGAAAACUAUAGGUGGUUUGAAUAUUGUACAUCGCUUGAUGCAUUAUGUAAGUGGACUAUAUAAAACUUGAGCAUGAUCAUUUCAAACUAAAGUAUAGGAAGGUUAUAUGCAUUUGUUAUACUGUAGUUAAUAUAUUUUAAAUAUUAUAUACGUCAAGUGAUUCACGUUUUCAUAAAAAUAAAAUUCAAGUUCAUUAUUGGGCCGUACUUGUCCGUAAUAAGCUACGUUAAAUAUGAUGUAUUUUUAGGUUCAUUUAAUGACAUUAAGUUUAAAUUUGAUUAAAGGAAACUCAUUAAUUUAACUGAAAAACAUAAGCAUUAAAAUAUGUAAGUUAAUUUAAUGAUGUUAAGUUUAUAUUUGAAUAAGGACAACAAAUUAAUCUAACUGAAAAAGACAAGCAUUAAAAUAGGAAAUUCAAUUUAAUUCUCAGUGGCAUGAAAAUGUAAUUAACUUCAAAAACUUAGGGGUAUUUUUUAAUGGGUACUUCUCUUUUAAUAAUAUAGAUAUCUACUCUCGCUGAUUAGGGAUAUAAAGCUCAUUCAAUAUAUGUCAAUUUAUCUCCUAAGCGGUUAGCUAGGUGAUUAAAUCAGAGAUCGAACAUUAAGUGAUCAAUUCAAUGUACGCAGUAAGAACAAUAUGAAUGAAGAACAGUUAAGAUCACUUAUUUGUGUUCAGUUCAUGCGACUAACACCCUACAACCCUAAGCAAGCUUAGUCUACUACUCAAUCAUAAAGCAGGAUGACACAGACAUGGUUUCUAAAUAAUACUGCAUGUAAAAUAAAGUAGAAAGACAAGGGUUCAUGAUAAUCUUCUCGUGAGAAUCAGAGAUGAAGCCUUCUCCCUUACAAGUUUCUUAAUCCAAAAUAGUUCUAGGUCUCUCGUAAAACUAGCGUAGUCUAAUAGAAAUGAUAGGAUAGGCUUUUUAUAUGGAGGCGCUGGUAGAGAAGUGAGGAGAGAUAGAAUCUAGGGCAAACUCCCGAAAUUGGAAGUUUCCUUAAUGAGUGGGAACAGUCAGCCGCUUGUUCUCUUCGGGAACAUCCUUCGGAUUGGUCUGAUCGGCUGUUCCGCAUCGGGUAUCCCAAAAUAGCAUCUUUCUUCAUGGAUCUCUCUUCUUUGUUCUUUUAGCUGUUCCAAACCUGGAAUGAUAUCAAAUAAGCACGAAUUAGGACUGAGAUUUAGCUCAAAGCACACAUAUAAUGCUGUUAGAAACAUCAUAUAUCAGGUUCAAACACACAACUUUGGUAACGAUUAUUUGGAACUGAUUCUAGCAGAUCAAAGUGUAAGUUUCAUUAUUAGGUUUUUUAUGUAUUGUUCUUAUUCCAAGUUUAAUAUUGUCUAUAAAACGUAUCUAAGUUUUUUGUAUAUUGUUUAUCUGUUAUUAACCAUAAUGAGUUUAUUAGGGUGUUAAGAUAUAUUAAUCAUGUAAAAAGAUAUACCUCACGUAAAGAAGAAUCUUCAGGUUGGCAUAUGAAAGAUUAUUGAUGAAUUAUCAGUUGCAUCAGCUAUUCAGAAACUGCAGACCUACAAGUCAUAGUUACAAGCUUAACUUCGUCAACAAUACUACAGUCACCGAUUCAUCUGUCAAACUUGAUGAUAAUUUUUUAUCAUACACCAUUUGAAUCUAUUUUUAGUGGAAGUUUAAAAGCAAAUUUUCUAAUUAGAGAUAUAUUGUGUUUUUGGUAUAUUAUAUGUAUGUCUUACUAAUAGUUUUCAAGGUUUUAUCGUGUCUUUAUAGUCCUUUUGAGUCAUUACAAGUCUGAGAGUCUAAUAGGUGGGAAGAAUGAUCGUAUGUAGCGAAAGAAGGAAGAAAAGAGCCUGACUUGAAGGUUUUUACAACCAGAACAGUCAGGCAGACUGUUCUCGCAUUAGUGGAGCACUCCGAUAGCCUGUUCCCUGAUACUUCAGGAAAUAAAAGAUUCUAUUUCGGGAUUUUCCCUAGUUUUUCCUAUUUUUCCCUCUAGCCGCAUGUGGCUCCUAUAUAUAUUCUUAUUUUAUUUACUUUAUGACCUACCUUAGUUCUUAUGCAAGAAAGACCUUAGAGAGCCUUGAGAUUUGGCGAUUGCUACUUGUAAGGGAGAAAGCCUCAUCUAUCUCCUAGAGAAGAUUACCCUGAACCCUCUGAUUUCUAUUAUCUAUUAUAUGCAAUAUUAUUCAGAAAUCAUGCCUCUUUGUUCUUGUGUUAUGAUUGAGUAGUCACCGAGUUAGUUUAGAGUUCUAGGGUUUUAGAUUCGUGAACUGAAGCAUAAAUAAGUCAUCUUAAGAUUGUCUACAUUCAUAUAUGUUCUUAUUGCUUGCACUGAACUGAUCACUUAGUGCAUGAAUUAGGGUUAAUCAAUUUAGCUCUGUUGGUUGAUAACUUGAUAUGAUUUGAAUAAGCUUUGCAUCCCUAGUGAGCGAGAGUAGAUAUUAGGGUGUAUUGUGAACACAUCGGAAUUGAUCUCUAAAGCUUGCUAUCACGUCUUGAUUGAAACGAGAGUUUACGCAUCAAGGCCGAUUUGCAAAAGAAUCAACACCACAACAGUGGGUUGUUUUAACUUGAGUGAUCCGAGUUUAGACUUGUGUAAACUGGACUUGAAUAACUGUUUGGUUUGCGAUUUCCUUACCUGAAGAAGAAAUCCUAGACUAGCGCCUUUAAUAAAUUCGAAAACAGCCUCACUUUGUUACUUGUUUCUUACGUUACCUUACUUCUUUAAAACUCCACUUCUGUUUUAGCUAAAUUUUGAUCCUGUGAACUGGUCCUCUGGAAUUGAAUCUAAAGAUAUUACAACUACACUGUUAAGUUGACAGUAGACAAAGAUCCAAUUUUAGUGUAUCAAUUAGCAAUAUAUUUUUAUAGCAUAAUCAUUUUAUGUUUUGCUAAUCUCCAAUAUUUGGUAAUUAUAUAUGUUAUUGGUGAAGCAAUUGAUAUUGGAGAUUUUCAAAUUUUCCACGCACAUGGUAAAGAAAGUAAAAAAAAUCAGCUGUCUUUAAAAGACAAGAAAUGUUAAGUCCUUAUCUAUUUUGAAGUCGUAUAUCUUUUUUAAAAUCCAUCUUAUUAUUAUUGGAUAUGGAUAUUUGCAGUGAUCAAAUUGUAUCAUGUUGUCCAUAGAGUCGUUUUGCUAAAAAAAAGUUGAUUAUUAAAAUCUAAAGAAACUAAAUUUAUCACUUUGGUAAGAUUUGCUAAAAAAAUCUUUACAAAAGUAAAAGGAUUUUGUAUGGGAGUUAUAAUUGAUUAGGCAAAAUAAUUAAUUAUGUGAUCAUUCAUCUAUAAAUGACGUCGUUUAUAAAUAUUUGCAGGGCAAUUCCAAAUAACAAAUGCAUUUGACAUAUCUAAUGUGAUCAUAAACCCUCAAGGAUCUGAUGUUGAAGAGUUUCUCAAAAUAUAAGUUAAUAAAUUUUGUAUUGCAAAUGUUGUUUGUUAGUUUUAAGUGAUACAGAUUUUGUCAUGUGAAAUAUUACAGACCAUCUAGUAAUAAUCUGGCUCUAGCAAGUUGAGCUCUGAAGAUUUGAAAAUUGUUAAGAAAUGCAAAAAAAGAUCACUGGAGGCAUUGUCUAGAAAUAUCAAUAUCAGAAGAGCAAUUGCACUCCGUAUACACAAAAAUAAGAUUAUUUAGCUAUGUGGUUGUGCCACUGUUGUAUUUUCAAUAUUCCAAUAAAGUCCCUAUAACUAGAAUACGAUUACAGGGAAAUAACUACAGAGAAAUAAUCAAAGCGAUUCACUUCAGAGACAUGUUUAAAACCUUCGAUCGAAGAAGAGGACAGAUGAUAGAUUGAUUCUUUUUUGAUGUUAUGUUCCAUGUUGAGUUUGCUUAAAGAACUUGUUUCAGUUUCUUUGGUUCUAUAAACAGUUUCCAAGAUGAAGACAACAAGGGGGAAAGAUAAAGCUAAGAACACCAAGGAAGCCUUGAAGCCUGUUGAUGACAUGUUCAUCCUCUGAAACUAUAUAAAGGAAAUAACUUUCUUGCUGAAUCAUUGUCUUUUGUUGUUUGAUCUCAAAUAUAAAGGUGAAAGCUUUUUCUUUCAGAAAGGUGAGAAAGAGGAAGGCACGGCUGAGAAGGUUAGCAUGCGGGAGAAGAAGGCCAAGAAGGAUCCAAACAAACCCAAAAGAGCUCUCAGUGCCUUAUUUGUCUUCCUGAAGCGCAGCUAGAAAAGGGAAAAGGCAGGAGAUGUAGAGGAAUAUGACGAUGAUGAUGCUAAUGAAGACAAGGAAAAAGAAAGACUAUUGCUUCAAUAUUAUUGUGGGAUAUCUGUGUAAUUUCACUGCUGCUUUUCUAUCCAACUAGCUAAAUAAUUUUUUUUCUGCAUAGAUUGCUAAUUAUCUUUUGUUUCUUGUUU